This 460-nucleotide ribosomal RNA is filed under the name uncultured bacterium. RNAcentral describes it as "partial 16S ribosomal RNA". It matches the Rfam family "Bacterial small subunit ribosomal RNA", at positions 338 to 795 of the family's 1533-position model. The record is from RNAcentral.
CCUACGGGUGGCUGCAGUGAGGAAUAUUGGGCAAUGGACGAGAGUCUGAACCAGCCAAGUAGCGUGAAGGAUUACUGCCCUAUGGGUUGUAAACUUCUUUUAUAUGGGAAUAAAAUGUUCCACGUGUGGGAUUUUGUAUGUACCAUAUGAAUAAGGAUCGGCUAACUCCGUGCCAGCAGCCGCGGUAAUACGGAGGAUCCGAGCGUUCUCCGGAUUUAUUGGGUUUAAAGGGAGCGUAGGUGGAUUGUUAAGUCAGUUGUGAAAGUUUGCGGCUCAACCGUAACAUUGCAGUUGAAACUGGCAGUCUUGAGUACAGUAGAGGUGGGCGGAAUUCGUGGUGUAGCGGUGAAAUGCUUAGAUAUCACGAAGAACUCCGAUUGCGAAGGCAGUUCACUGGACUGCAACUGACACUGAGGCUCGAAAGUGUGGGUAUCAAACAGGAUUAGAUACCCCAGUAGUC